RNAcentral lists this ribosomal RNA (934 nucleotides) under Mucor circinelloides. RNAcentral's name for it is "partial large subunit ribosomal RNA". It matches the Rfam family "Eukaryotic large subunit ribosomal RNA", at positions 79 to 919 of the family's 3401-position model. Lineage: Eukaryota; Fungi; Mucoromycota; Mucoromycetes; Mucorales; Mucoraceae. The record is from RNAcentral.
CCUAGUAACGGCGAGUGAAGAGGAAAGAGCUCAAAGUUGGAAACUGUUUGGCUUAGCUAAACCGGAUUGUAAACUGUAGAAACAUUUUCCUGGUACGCUGGACUAAUAAAGUCCUUUGGAACAAGGGCAUCAUGGAGGGUGAGAAUCCCGUCUUUGGUCUGAGUAGUUGUCUUUUGUGAUAUGUUUUCAAAGAGUCAGGUUGUUUGGGAAUGCAGCCUAAAUUGGGUGGUAAAUCUCACCUAAAGCUAAAUAUUUGCGAGAGACCGAUAGCGAACAAGUACCGUGAGGGAAAGAUGAAAAGAACUUUGAAAAGAGAGUUAAACAGUAUGUGAAAUUGUUAAAAGGGAACCGUUUGGAGCCAGACUGGUUUGAUUGUAAUCAACCUAGAAUUCGUUUCUGGGGUGCACUUGCAGUCUAUGCCUGCCAACGACAGUUUGAUUUGGAGGAAAAAAUUAGUAGGAAUGUGGCCUCUCGAGGUGUUAUAGCCUAUUAUCAUACUCUGGAUUGGACUGAGGAACGCAGUGAAUGCCUUUAGGCGAGAUUGCUGGGUGCUUUCGCUAAUAAAUGUUAGAAUUUCUGCUUCGGGUGGUGCUAAUGUUUAAAGGAGGAACACGUUUAGUAUAUUUUUUAUUCGCUUAGGUUGUUGGCUUAAUGACUCUAAAUGACCCGUCUUGAAACACGGACCAAGGAGUCCACCAUAAGUGCAAGUAUUUGGGUGACAAACUCAUAUGCGUAAGGAAACUGAUUGAUACGAAAUCUUUUGAUGGCAGUAUCACCCGGCGUUGACGUUUUAUACUGAAUUGACCGAGGUAAAGCACUUAUGAUGGGACCCGAAAGAUGGUGAACUAUGCCUGAAUAGGGUGAAGCCAGAGGAAACUCUGGUGGAGGCUCGUAGCGAUUCUGACGUGCAAAUCGAUCGUCAAAUUUGGGUAUA